UACCAGCACCCCGAGUGGUCGGCGCGAUUAUUGGGCCUAAAGCAUCCGUAGCCGGUCCUGCAAGUCUUCCGUUAAAUCCAGCUGCUCAACAGAUGGGCUGCGGAGGAUACUACAGGGCUAGGAGGCGGGAGAGGCAAGCGGUACUUUAUGGGUAGGGGUAAAAUCCGUUGAUCCAUAGAAGACCACCAGUGGCGAAGGCGGCUUGCCAGAACGCGCUCGACGGUGAGGGAUGAAAGCUGGGGGAGCAAACCGG
Molecule: ribosomal RNA, 253 nt
Filed under: uncultured bacterium
Lineage: Bacteria
Description: partial 16S ribosomal RNA
Rfam family: Archaeal small subunit ribosomal RNA
Source: RNAcentral